CGGUAUGUAGCGCAGUUUGGUAGCGCACUGCUCUGGGGGAUCAGGGGUCGUAGGUUCAAAUCCUAUUAUACCGA
RNAcentral lists this transfer RNA (74 nucleotides) under Psychromonas sp. PRT-SC03. It matches the Rfam family "tRNA". From Rfam's summary of the family: Transfer RNA (tRNA) molecules are approximately 80 nucleotides in length. Their secondary structure includes four short double-helical elements and three loops (D, anti-codon, and T loops). Lineage: Bacteria; Pseudomonadati; Pseudomonadota; Gammaproteobacteria; Alteromonadales; Psychromonadaceae. The record is from Rfam by way of RNAcentral.